ACCACGAGGAAACUGUUUAGGGCAAAAUCAGCAAUGGAGCUGUUUCUAAUAAUUAAUAAAUUAAAAUAAAAGCAGUAAUAAUUGCAAUGUUACUUUUGCAUUCCUAAGAAUAACACUGAUGUUCUCCACUUUGACAUUUGUAAAACACUCUGGAUUAGAGCAUCUGCUAAAUGAAUGAAAUAUAAUAAUAAUAAUAAUAAUAAUAACAAUAAUAAUAAUAAUAAUAUGCUACAUUUGAAAGCACGCACACACACACACACACACACACACACAUAUAUAUGAUAGAGAUGUGCAUUCAGAUUGCAAAAGGCCAAGUUUUUGUGGUUUUCUGCAUGUAAAAAAAGUACGGCACCUUAAGCCUUAAAAAGAGUCCUGCUGAGAAACAUGUCAGCAGAAUAAAAGAGACAACAAUGGACGACAGCAUUCAAUAAGAAGCCCCCCCCCCCCCCAAAAGGUCAACAGAGUGUUCCAGGAGAAAAUGUGUUUGGAUGCGACAAUCGUUGAAAAAUCAGACAAGGUCCCCUGACUCUCGUGCCUGAUCUUUAUGUUAAGCCAACGUUUCCCUGGGGUUCACAUAUUAACCUUUUCCCAGAAAAAAGCUGAUUUUUCAAUUGAUUUCAAACCCCAAUUUCAUAUUCAUGGCAUCAUACGGCAAUUUUAAUGUAAACAACCUGAUCAUUUUCCGUAAACACCUUUUUAGUACAUUUCCCUUUGAUGCAUAAUGAACUGUGCGUGGGUGUAUAUGGACAUUUUUUACAUACACCCUCACUCUCGUAUUAUUGUAUUGCUGAGGCCUUAUAAAAAAAUGAAUGAUCGUUUUAAAUUAUAGAGACACCUUUGAAGGUAUUGUGAGAUAAAUGUUAUUAAAUAUGUAUUCAGCUUCAUCUGUUUUUUAAUGCUCUGUCUGUCAAGGGCUUGUUCCUCCGUAUAAAUAUUCGUUACAUGAAAGCAUGAUUAAUAUUUGUUAGAUGAAUACAGAAAGAUAAAAAAAAAUCAAUGUUCCAUGACUGGUAGGGCAGGGUAACUAAUUCUCAAGGUCUGGUGUAUAAGGUUUUCACUAAUGAGCCUGUUAAAAAAAAAGAUAAAAAAAUAAAAAUAAAAAAUACUCUCCAGCCCUCACCUUGUGUACAAGAAACGUGUGGAUCAAUUAGGGCCCUGGGAUUUGACAUCUGACAUUUUUUUCAUUCCUUUGCCUCUUUUAUUCUUCAGCCUGCAGCAAUACUGCAAUCAUCAGUGCAUUAUUUCAAAUGCUGCAGGUCCCAGUCGCAGCCCCCCGUUCAUCUAUUAAUGAAGAGGAAGCUCUUCAGGUGCAGCAUUGAUUUACAGUGCUCGCCUCGUCCUUUUCGUUUGCUCCAGGAUUAUUUAUUUAUUUAUUUAUUUAUUUCUUUAUUUAUUUAUUUGUUCGUUCAUUUAUUUAUUUAUCUGGGAUGUCCUCGCAUCCGGACUGACUUACGGGGUACGGGGCGCUUCGACGAAUGACCGGCAAAGAGAAUAGCGGCGGAAUAAUUGCGCGUGUCGUGCGCAGCAUGUAAUGUGUGGCUGGGUCCAGCGCAAACACCGAGCCUACAGUUACUCGAGAGCAAUGGUCCUCCAGAACGUUAAAUUAACACGCACGCCAUGGUAACUGAGAAUGACAUCAGCUUAUGUCAUAACCUUCAGUUGGUGACACCGCUGCGGUUUCUACCCGGUGUCAUGCAUUAUUUACGAGUUACAUUCACUGAGGGAUGUCAUACCCUCACGCUAAAGCAACAUGGAUGGGGCCUUUAAUCUUUGUACAGGUCUGACGGGCUGCUGCUCCACACUUUGGUGCAUCCAAAUCUAAUGUAGACCUUGAUUGGACAGCGGACAGCAUUUCAUCACAGGUGAUGUGAUUGUGAUAAAACAGUGUGAUUAAAGGUGAUCACAGAACAGUACAGGAUACAAGGUUGAACGUUUAGUGGUAAUACUUAAAUAAUAAAAAAAAUAAAUUACAAUACAAAAUUAUUUUAAGUGCAUUGGAUUGGUUAUCACAACAGAAAGCAAGAAUAAUGUUUUUAACUGGGUCUGAGAAUGACUAGGAGGAUAUUGAAAGAAGCAAAGCAAUUAAUAAUCAUAACAAGGUCAGAGAGGAAUCAGAAAAGCCUUACGGCAGAAAUAUCACAUCACAGUUUGAAACCCUUGUGUUAAUGAUAUAGCACCCACAUAUUUUCCAAUAUCUCACAUUACAAGGGCCAUGCAUUAUCUUCAGUCAGGUGCUUUUGCAUGUAAUUCAGUCCUCCAGGGGCAAGAUGGCAGUACACCGUGACAGUUGUGCAAGUGGGAAGCCGGUGGUGAAGGAGAAGGCUGCUUUCAUCCUUGCAGCAACAGAUGGGGCUGUUUCAGCUGAACCAGAUCUAUCCACUCCUGAAAAGAGACCCCCCCCCACCCCCCUCUAGCCCAUUCCACCCCCUCCCUGCUGUGAUACAGACAGGCAGCACUGGAACCCCUGCCUGUGGUUUUAAUUACUGACAGUAACCUGGGGAAGCAGUGGGGCGGACAUGCCGUGGCUGAACUUUGAUGUUCUCCAAGAGGCCAAGCAACUCAGAGAAUGAGGAGGAACAAAGGGACACUGACAUUGUGUAAUUGCAACCUGAGAGAUGGAUUCUUGACACACGGUCAUACUCGAAUGAAGAUUUUUCUCUUUUUUUUGUGAUCUGUGAGUCCAGCUCUCCAUUGCCAUUCUGUGGGCACCGUCACAGCAGAAAGAGCUUUUUCACCAAGAUGAACUGCUCUGCCUGUGUAGAGGACUGCACUUGUUACUGUCCCACUUGAGCAGAACUGCUAAAACUUGUUAAACUUAAAAAAAACUGUUUCUUAAUGCAUUCUGAAAUACAUUCUCCUCAAGGCUCCACUGAUUUGCUCCCAACUAUUUUUGAUUGGAAAAUACCUGUAAUUUGCCCACAAGCGAAUACAGUUACAAAUAAUCCUGAAAUAAAAUGAACAGUGUAUGGAAUUUGAGAAAUAAUAACAUGAGGCAUUAUGAAC
This is a long non-coding RNA of Anguilla rostrata (American eel), 3003 nucleotides long. RefSeq lists it as uncharacterized. The transcript is spliced from 3 exons. The record is from RefSeq and is a predicted model, not a curated record. Lineage: Eukaryota; Metazoa; Chordata; Actinopteri; Anguilliformes; Anguillidae.